Molecule: transfer RNA, 75 nt
Filed under: Campylobacter sp.
Lineage: Bacteria; Pseudomonadati; Campylobacterota; Epsilonproteobacteria; Campylobacterales; Campylobacteraceae
Also listed under: 21 other names
Description: tRNA-Gly
Rfam family: tRNA
About the family: Transfer RNA (tRNA) molecules are approximately 80 nucleotides in length. Their secondary structure includes four short double-helical elements and three loops (D, anti-codon, and T loops).
Source: RNAcentral
GCGGGAAUAGCUCAGUGGUAGAGCGCGACCUUGCCAUGGUCGAUGUCGCGAGUUCGACUCUCGUUUCCCGCUCCA